UCCAGAAAGAAACUGCCAAUAGGCUUUAAGCACCGUCACAUAAGUCCCUCCUACCUAUUUCACAAUCCGGUAACCCCGCCUCCACAUAACGAAUUUUACCUGAGAAGUUUGGUCGCUGUCAGCCAAUCAAACGCCUGAAUGUAGCAUGACCCCGCCCACUUCAGGCUUGAACAACCAGUCAACAUCGACCUUUCGCGAAGCCAAACAUCCCCAACCAAUCACAGAGCAGUCCCUUCUAACAGCGCUCGGUUCAAUUCAGUGGAGCUCCUUACGAUAUUAUUCUAAGUUACUAGUCAAGUUUUGCUAUUUAAAACUUAGUAGUCGGCGGAAACCCCCAGGCUUAACACCAGCUUCAAGUGACGUCCACAUGUCCGUACGGAGGUUUGCGAUGGCGGUACAUCCAUACGGUGGCAAGCAGAAUGGUUGACAGCACUGUGACUGGCAGCAGGCAAUAAAAGAUGACGUGUAUCACGCUGAUUCUGGGGGUCGGAGCUCGAAUGACUGAGGCAUACACACAUAAAGCAUCGCCGGUAAAAUGUGCAGACGAGGGACUUUCUGAUCUUUUGACACUGGUGCAGCUCGAAUCCGUCGAUUGGUGCAUGUCUUUGGAGGUGGGAGGAAGCCGGAGUACCCGGAGGGAACCCACGCAGUCACGGGGAGAACAUGCAAACUCCACACAGAAAGAUCCCGAGCCCAGGAUUGAACACAGGACUAUUCAGGACCUUCGUAUUGUGAGGCACAUGCACUAACCCUUGUGCCACUGUGAUGCCCUAAAAAGAUAAUCAACAAAAACAAAUAUUGCAAAGUAAUUACUUACUAUUACUGCUAGGCAACACUUAAAAUAUUAGGGAAUUUAACAUAAACAAAGAAAAUCUUGACAUUUGUAUUGUGUUUGAUAUUUUAGCUGUCAUUCACAUAUAAAAAAUUUUAGUCACGAAAAUUGUUGACUUAAUUCUUUAUCAGUGCAUUUGGAAUAUGUGUAUAAGUGGUCGCUGGGAAGAAGUAGUAACACUUUUAAACGAUGAUCACAUUUUCAACAUCUGUGGACAGUGUGGCUAAUGCGGAAUGUUUAUUGGCAGGUGACGAUACAUGUUUAAUAAGAUGUGAACAUGCUACUAAACAUUUAGCAUAUCUGCCUCAGGUGUGAGCGUGCUUACAACAUAAUAAUGUUUUAUUUUUAAGAUAAGGACAGUGCAUAUCAAUGAAAAUCGAUGUUUACAUAGCUCUGUAAACAUGCCGUAUCAAAGCAAAGCUGCUAAUUUGCAUGUGUAGUGUCUAAUAAAUACAAAAAUAUAAAUAAUGCUAAGUGACAUCAAAUAAAUAGAUAAAAUACAAAUAGAACAGUCAAGGAAGCACAAUACAUUACAUUACUGGUGUCAAACUCAGGGCUUGGGGGCCAGGUCUGGCUCGCCACAUUAUUUAUCAUGGCCCACAAAAGCCUGGGAAUAAUACUGUCAAUACAGUACUUUCUUUUCUUACUCAACGUAAAUGGUAAAUAAAUGGGUCAUACUUGUAUAGCGUUUUUCUACCUUCAAAGUACUCGAAGCCGUUGUGAUCCGGUUCCCAGAUCACAUCUUUAGUCUAUGUUUUGAGUCCCUUUUUGUGUAGCGAUUAUUAUUUUUGGACUCUUCACGUUCCGAGUUUUGCACUUCCUGUUUUAUCUCGUUUCCAUGGUUUCUCAUUUGUUCCACCUGCUAUGCUUUUUGACGCACAACUGUUGGCAAUUGUUUACUUUAGUAUUUAAGCCUGCAUUCUUCCUCAGUUCGUUCUUGGCUCAAGGUUUGCGGUAAGCAACAGUCACGUUUAUUAUUCAGCUUUGUAUUAACCUUGCUAAGUCACGUCUUAGCUUCUGUGCGCUCGACACGCGCUUCUGUGGACACUUUGGACUCGACGCUUGCUAACUAGUAGCAUUAGCUUUCCGUGCAUAGGCACGCCGUUUCAUUUCUGCUUUGUACAAGUUUUCGUCAGGAGCAAGGGUGAAGUGUCUUGCUCAAGGACACAAGGGACGUGACUAGGUUGGUAGAAGGUGAGGAUUGAACCAGGAACCCUCAGGUUGCUGGCAUGGCCACUCUCCCACGCCGUAGCAGUUCUUUCUAUUUUGACAGGAAAAAAAUGAAAGCUGAAAAAAAAAACAAAUUAACUCAUGCGAAUAAUGCAUCAAUGAUGAAUAUACGCAGAUUUAUCACCCAGUAAUUGCAUUUGGGUCAAAAUAUUUGGGUCUUUUCUUAAGUCGAUUUCAAUUAUGCAAACGAGAAAUAACCUCUGAUUAAUCAUGAUUAAUCUGAAUGAAAAAUUUAAUGAUUUGAUGGCACAAUAAUUACAUGUACUGCAUGUAAUUGCAUUUAUUUCAAACUUUAACAUUAUGUAAUAAUGCAACAAAUAUUAUAUUAUCAUAUAUUACAAAAAAUGUUGACAAAUAUUUAAAUAUCUGCUUGACUUGUGAUUCAUGACUCAUGGAGUAUUCCAUCAAAUUGUAUACUGUAAAAAUGUUAAUAGAUUUUACGGUAAAAAACAACAACAAAAAACAUAGCUCAUUCGCAAGAACUUUUGUGUUAAAAAAAACUAACUUUGGUAACGUUUUUCCAUUUACUGUCAUAUGCAGUUAAACAUUGUACACUUUACAGUAAAAUUUAGGCAAAUGCGCUGCCAGUUUUUUUAAUUAUAAAAUCUACAGAUUUCUUUAUGUGCAUGAAAAAAGAUUUAAAAUGUAUUGGCAAUUAUGUAAUAAUCUCAUAAGGGGAAUCCUGAUGCAUUUAUAUUCAUGUACAGUCACUGUUACAAAGGGCCUUUUGAGGGCAGCCAUAAUUGCAAUGUGGCCUUCAAAGAAAUCAAGUUUGACACCAUUGCAUUACAUUCAGUAGACCCAGACAAGAUAUAACAAUGAAUUAAAAAAGUAAUGUUCAAUUAGUUCAAGUCCAGUCAGGGGUCGCACUUCUGAUUUGAUUUGAGCCAUUCUUUUAGUUGUCCUUAAAGAAGAGUAUCUGGGGCGUUGUGAAGGGAAGAGUGUCAUCUUUUGUUCACAUAUUCAUAAGCAUUUUGCAUUUUUUUUCCUAUUAAUUUUCAUAUGUCUUACUUGUAUUUUAUUCUUUAUCUCUACACAUGGUUCUUACUAUAUUACAAGUUUUAUUAUUUUCAUUUUCCAACAUUCCUCAGAUGAGCCAUCUGCCUCAGGGGUUAUCGGCCGUGCUUGUUGGGGCGCUUUUGUGUCAGCGUCCUGGUGGCCAUGGUCUGAUGACCUCCUGGUGCAGAUGGCUCCUUGUGAUAGUGUUUACUCACCUGUCUCCUCUGUACUCAGCCAUGCAAUAAUUGGUCCAUAUAGUUCUUUGUGUUUGUGUUUGGUAUCUGUAUCCGUGCGUACGUAUGUGAUAAUGGGGGAUAUGGGUCACCGGGGUAUUGUUUUUAACUUUGUAAAAUACUUUGCAUUGCAUUUCUUUUAUGUAUGAAAAGUGCAUUAUAAAUAAAGCUUGAUUUGA
Nerophis ophidion (straightnose pipefish) is the source of this 3473-nucleotide long non-coding RNA. RefSeq lists it as uncharacterized. The record is from RefSeq and is a predicted model, not a curated record. The transcript has 4 exons. NCBI's taxonomy places the organism in Eukaryota, Metazoa, Chordata, Actinopteri, Syngnathiformes, Syngnathidae.